This 299-nucleotide signal recognition particle RNA is filed under the name Carlito syrichta (Philippine tarsier). RNAcentral's name for it is "Metazoan signal recognition particle RNA (ENSTSYG00000026037.1)". It matches the Rfam family "Metazoan signal recognition particle RNA". Rfam says of the family: The signal recognition particle (SRP) is a universally conserved ribonucleoprotein. It is involved in the co-translational targeting of proteins to membranes. Lineage: Eukaryota; Metazoa; Chordata; Mammalia; Primates; Tarsiidae. The record is from RNAcentral.
GUCAGGCAUGAUGGUACAUGCUCAUCGUUCCAACUACUCAGGAAGCUGAGGUGGGAGGAUCCCUUAAGUCCAGAAGCUCUGGGUUGCAGUGGGCUAUACCAGUUGGGUAUCUGCACUAAGGUCAGCAUCACUGUGAUAAACUCCCAGAAAUGGGAGACCACCAGGUUGCCUAAGAAGCUAUGAACCGGCCCAGAUAGGAACUGGAGCAGGUCAAAAUCCCCAUGCUGAUCAGUAGUGGGAUUGUGCCUGUAAAUAGUCCCUGUACUCCAGCCUGGACAACAUACCAAGACUCCGUCUAA